UUUGCACGUCAUCGUGUGAAAAUAGUAAUUUCGGCCCUUGAUAUCAAAACAAAGUCGAAUUAAAAUAAGAAGAGUACGUAUAGUGUGAAUGAAAAAGCGUGGACCGAAUUGAUCAGAGCAUCGCGGUGGAACAUACGAUCAGCAACUAAACUAGAAAGUAUUGAAUACAAUCAACGCUAACACUGGACACUCUGACGGGGACAUCACCAAAGAUUACGGUACCAGCUAUAUAUUUUCGACCUGAAUGAUGGAAUUUUGCAGAAAUUGUCUUACAUUAUAUUUGAUAUUAGAGAAUGGUCCUGAAGAGCUCCUCUUCCAGAUGGAUCUAAGGAGUACCUAACAAAUAUAAAGUGACUUCUGAUUUGGCCUCCGUAUUUCAUCGUACACUCAUGAAUCGCACCAAUUUCUGAAACCUGGUAUUUGUUGGAAGCUUUUCUCAAAACGCUAUAGCGUACUAAAAUUUUCAAAGAUUUACUGUGCCCAGCAGAAAACCCAGUAGAAAAAAGUUACGGUCAUUUGUUAGUUCAAUAUUCCAAUUCACUGAA
Toxorhynchites rutilus septentrionalis is the source of this 545-nucleotide long non-coding RNA. RefSeq lists it as uncharacterized. The record is from RefSeq and is a predicted model, not a curated record. Lineage: Eukaryota; Metazoa; Arthropoda; Insecta; Diptera; Culicidae. The transcript has 3 exons.